RNAcentral lists this ribosomal RNA (351 nucleotides) under Diplotrema acropetra. RNAcentral describes it as "partial 12S ribosomal RNA". It matches the Rfam family "Bacterial small subunit ribosomal RNA", at positions 875 to 1396 of the family's 1533-position model. Lineage: Eukaryota; Metazoa; Annelida; Clitellata; Crassiclitellata; Megascolecidae. The record is from RNAcentral.
AUAAAUCGAAUAUUACGAAUAUAAAUUUAAAAUUCAAAGAAUUUGGCGGUAUCUUAAAUAUUCAGGGGAACCUGUCUCAUAACUCGAUAGACCACGAUCUCUCAACCCUCUAUAGAACUAACAGCCUGUAUACUGCCGUCGUAAGUAUACCCCUAAAGGUACCAGUAUACUUAAAUGAUACUACACCAUUUACGUCAGGUCAAAGUGCAGCUAAUGGAAGGAGACGAUGGGUUACAACCUCAAAAAAGAACAUGAAUUAGAGAUGCUAAAAAUCUCAUGAAAGUGGACCUGAAUGUAAUUGUUGUACAAUGCCACAAUAAACAAAAAUCUAAGAUAUGCACACAUCGCCCG